CUGGCUCUGAGUCAAGGCCUGCAGCUUCCUGACGCUGUUGGUUUCAAGCAGGAGCCUAAAGAGAUGUCUUUCUAUGGUCUGUUGGCCAUUUCAGAACUUGGGCAGUGAAAUGGUCAAUUUAUUAGAAAGAAACAGCU
Molecule: small nucleolar RNA, 137 nt
Organism: Cavia aperea (Brazilian guinea pig)
Lineage: Eukaryota; Metazoa; Chordata; Mammalia; Rodentia; Caviidae
Source: Ensembl